ACCAAGGCAUUUCUCGGUGUCCAAAUAAGCGCACUAGCGAGCAAAGUUUGUUAGACAGAAAUCAAGCAUGGCUUUCGGUAUGGCUUUCAGGACAGCACUGCUGUGCCUUCUUGGCAUGCUGAUAGCUUCCCCUGCCAUUGCCGUUUCUGAUUCUGGUAUAUACUACCAGAUUGGUUUGAUGUGGCCGGGAGCAUACUGCGCGCAGACCACCCGCGGAUGCUGCAUGCCCAAGAGCCCUAUCGUGCCGGCGGCCGACUUCUACGUAUCGGGCUUUACCGUCUUCAACGCGACGACCGACGCCCCCGAGACCAGCUGCAGCGGCACUCCUUUCAACUCCGGCGAGAUUCUGGAAAUCAGCGGUCUGAGGCAGUUCUGGAGCAACAUCAAGUGCCCCAGCAACAACGGACAGAGCAGCUGGAAGAGCGCCUGGAAGACGUCCGGCGUCUGCUCCGGCCUCGACGACAAGGCCUACUUCCAAGCCGCGAUCGCCCUCCGUAGCAAGAUCAAUCCCCUCUCUCGCCUCGUCUCCAAAGGGAUCAAGCCGGACUUUGGCCUGUACAGCUUGGAGAAGAUCAAGAAGGUCAUCCAGGCGGGCACCGGCGUGACGCCGGUGAUCCAGUGCAGCAAAGGGCCGUUCGAUAAGUUCCAGCUGUACCAAAUCUUCAUCUGCGUGGCCGGGGACGCCAAAACGCUCAUCGAGUGCCCGAAACCGCAGAAAUUCACGUGCUCCGACGACAUCCUCUUCCACCCCUUCAAGAAGUGGAUGCUAAAGCAGGCCGCGUCCUCGGUGUCCUACGCCGAAGCAUUCGAGAUGGCCGGAGCUGUCAUGGGAUACUGAGCUGCAGCUGCAGAUCGGUAGCCGGUCGGGCCCUUGACCGGCCUCGUUUUGUGAGUUGCGUUCAAGCGAAUAAUUAAUAGUAGUAUAUGCAUGGAAUAAUGUUUUCGCCUUUCCGGACAUUUCAUCUCGCGCGUGGUGUGAUAAUAAUGUAAUCCUAGGGUACCGCAAUAUUGAUUACCAAGUCGAUCUGUAACGCUUUCAUGAAUAAUAAUAAUAAUAAUAAUAAUAAAACAAUAGUACAUUUGUGUC
Molecule: RNA transcript, 1087 nt
Organism: Triticum aestivum (bread wheat)
Lineage: Eukaryota; Viridiplantae; Streptophyta; Magnoliopsida; Poales; Poaceae
Gene name: ribonuclease 1
Exons: 5
Source: RefSeq, a predicted model, not a curated record